CAUGAAGUUGGAUUCGCUAGUAAUCGCGCAUCAGCCAUGGCGCGGUGAAUACGUUCCCGGGCCUUGUACACACCGCCCGUCAAGCCAUGGGAGCCGGGGGUGCCUGAAGUUCGUGACCGCAAGGAGCGACCUAGGGCAAAACUGGUGACUGGGGCUAAGUCGUAACAAGGUACC
This 174-nucleotide ribosomal RNA is filed under the name uncultured bacterium. Its description in RNAcentral is "partial 16S ribosomal RNA". It matches the Rfam family "Bacterial small subunit ribosomal RNA", at positions 1319 to 1500 of the family's 1533-position model. The record is from RNAcentral.